Molecule: ribosomal RNA, 450 nt
Filed under: uncultured bacterium
Lineage: Bacteria
Description: partial 16S ribosomal RNA
Rfam family: Bacterial small subunit ribosomal RNA
Source: RNAcentral
GUGGGGAAUCUUCCGCAAUGGACGAAAGUCUGACGGAGCAACGCCGCGUGAGUGAAGAAGGUUUUCGGAUCGUAAAGCUCUUUCGUUAGGGACGAACGUGCUCUUUGUGAAUAAUGAGGAGUAAUGACGGUACCUAAAUAAGAAGCCACGGCUAACUACGUGCCAGCAGCCGCGGUAAUACGUAGGUGGCAAGCGUUGUCCGGAAUUAUUGGGCGUAAAGCGAGCGCAGGCGGGAUAUCAAGUCUGUCUUAAAAGUGCGAGGCUCAACCUCGUGAGGGGACAGAAACUGGUAUUCUUGAGUGUCGGAGAGGAAAGUGGAAGUCCAAGUGUAGCGGUGAAAUGCGUAGAGAUUUGGAAGAACACCAGUGGCGAAGGCGACUUUCUGGACGAUGUCUGACGCUGAGGCGCGAAAGCUAGGGGAGCGAACGGGAUUAGAAACCCUGGUAGUCC